CGACCCGGUGGCUCUGAUGACGAGUUCCUCACAGUAACUUAAAGUAAAAGUAGCUCACACUUUAAAAGAUACUCUGUUACCAGCAAAAGUCCUGCAUUCAAAGUUGUUCACAAGUAAAAGUACAAAAACACAAGUGACAAAAAAGUACUGCAAGUACCAAAAGUAUACUUUAUACUUUAAUAUACUUUAUUAUCUAAUCAGUGACUAUGUUUAGAUGCACAAAUAUUCUUUUUACCUUAUUCUAAAAAAAAAAACUAAAUUCCUACUAAGCUGUUUACAAUGAAAAUGGAUAUUCCACUAAUAUUCACGUUUACAUGCAGCCGGGAACCGGAAAUGCAAUACUGCUCACUCCUUUUCCGGGUUUUAGGACUCAUUCCUGCAGCACUCUCCUGGUCUUAAAAACAAGCCUAAAACAAACAGGGUCUGGAUCACCAGCUGCCAUUUUGCUCUUCUUCUCUGUCACUUUGUGUUUGUGUUACAACGUCAGCAUUUAAGUGUCUCUGUUCUUUGUUUGUGUGUCUCAGUCCUGGGUUUCUGCGUGGCAUCCCUCCGGCGAGGCCUCAUCAGGGCGUCUGGCGCGCGCCCGGCGGCAGCUGCACUUCCGGAACGAGUGGGCGGCGUGGAGCGGCUGGUCCGUCUGCUCGCGCAGCUGUGGGAGCGGCGCCUCGGUGAGGACGCGCACCUGCAUCACCAGGAACCCAGUGGGAGGACCGUGUACAGGAGAUCCCAGACAAUACAAGAUCUGCAACACCAAGGAGUGCCCCCCCAGCUCGGAGGAUUUCAGAGAGAUGCAGUGUGCUGCCUUCAAUGACAGACCGUUGGUGGCUGGAAACUCCUUCAGAUGGACCACUUUUCAUGGAGGUCAGUGAAGACAACUCAGCUGAUGUUUGAACAAAAACACAAUAAUGUAUUUCCUAAUCAUUUAAAUUCUGUGUUUUUAUGUUUUUUAUCGUGAGUGUGUCCCAGCCAUGUGUAACUCGAGUUGCUGUGUCGUUGGCCGUCAUGCGAUAAACUUUUCAUGGUUCCCCUGUAAAGGCCUGCUGGCUGUUGAAUCCACACGGGGCUAUGAGUUUUCUACGUGACAUCUGUCUCCUCUCUUUUACCUCGCCUAUUUUUCCUCCACAAUGAACUAAUGAGUCACUGAGCGAAGAUCUCUCCCUGCCAGGCUCUAACCCCUGUGAACUGAGCUGCCUGGCGCUGGGUCACAACUUCUACUACAACUUUGGCCGUGUGCUCGAUGGCACGGCGUGCGAUAAGGAGCCCGGAGCGGUGUGUGUCAAUGGACGCUGCCUGGUGAGUGGAAACAAUACUGAACGUGUGUGUGUGUGUGUGUGUUGGUCUUUUCUUUUCAUAUUGUGUUCGUGCUUUUCAUGUCUUUGGUUUUCCCAUUUGAUAGUUUUAUAUUAAGGAUAAUCUUUUUCUGCUAGUUUUGUAUGAGGUUCCAAAAACGCUGCACCAUAGUUACCAAAUUCAUCUAAAAUUGUCCCAGCCGUUGCCAUGGUGAGAGCCGUGAGGAGGCAACAGAAAUGCUCAGAAUUCCGUGUAGAGCGCCUUUGACUCCUUUAUGUUUUCAGUGUCUCUAGUGUCCACCAGGGGGCGACUCCUCUGGUUGUAU
Molecule: long non-coding RNA, 1615 nt
Organism: Anarrhichthys ocellatus (wolf-eel)
Lineage: Eukaryota; Metazoa; Chordata; Actinopteri; Perciformes; Anarhichadidae
Exons: 3
Source: RefSeq, a predicted model, not a curated record